Molecule: ribosomal RNA, 253 nt
Filed under: uncultured bacterium
Lineage: Bacteria
Description: partial 16S ribosomal RNA
Rfam family: Bacterial small subunit ribosomal RNA
Source: RNAcentral
UACAGCGGUCUCAAGCGUUGUUCGGAUUCAUUGGGCGUAAAGGGCGCGUAGGCGGCGGGGUAAGUCUGGUGUGAAAUCUCGGAGCUCAACUCCGAAAUUGCACUGGAUACUGCUCUGCUUGAGGGUUGGAGAGGAGAUCGGAAUUCACGGUGUAGCAGUGAAAUGCGUAGAUAUCGUGAGGAAGACCAGUGGCGAAGGCGGAUCUCUGGACAAAUCCUGACGCUGAGGCGCGAAGGCUAGGGGAGCAAACGGG